GGGUGGGUCCUGUACGACGAAGCACCGUGAACCAUGUCAGGCGGGGAACCGAGCAGCAUUAAACGGUUGUCUUUGGGUGAUAUAGGUAGUCUGUCCGUC
RNAcentral lists this signal recognition particle RNA (99 nucleotides) under Oscillospiraceae bacterium. RNAcentral's name for it is "signal recognition particle sRNA small type". It matches the Rfam family "Bacterial small signal recognition particle RNA". Rfam says of the family: The signal recognition particle (SRP) is a universally conserved ribonucleoprotein involved in the co-translational targeting of proteins to membranes. The record is from RNAcentral. Lineage: Bacteria; Bacillati; Bacillota; Clostridia; Eubacteriales; Oscillospiraceae.